CUGAACUUAAGCAUAUCAAUAAGCGGAGGAAAAGAAACUAACAAGGAUUCCCCUAGUAACUGCGAGUGAAGCGGGAAAAGCUCAAAUUUAAAAUCUGGCGGCCUUUGGUCGUCCGAGUUGUAGUCUGGAGAAGCGUCUUCCGCGUUGGACCGUGUACAAGUCUCUUGGAACAGAGCGUCAUAGAGGGUGAGAAUCCCGUCUUUGACACGGACUACCAAUGCUUUGUGAUGCGCUCUCAAAGAGUCGCGUUGUUUGGGAAUGCAGCGCAAAAUGGGAGGUGAAUUCCUUCUAAAGCUAAAUAUUGGCGAGAGACCGAUAGCGAACAAGUACCGUGAGGGAAAGAUGAAAAGCACUUUGGAAAGAGAGUUAAACAGUACGUGAAAUUGCUAAAAGGGAAACGCUUGAAGUCAGUCGCGUCGUCCGGAACUCAGCCUUGCUUCGGCUUGGUGCACUUUCCGGUUGACGGGCCAGCAUCGAUUUUGACCGCUGGAAAAGGGCUGGAGGAAUGUGGCACCUUCGGGUGUGUUAUAGCCUUCAGUCGCAUACAGCGGUUGGGAUCGAGGAACGCAGCGCGCCUUAUGGCUGGGGUUCGCCCACAUUCGCGCUUAGGAUGCUGGCAUAAUGGCUUUAAACGACCCGUCUUGAAACACGGACCAAGGAGUCUAACAUGCCUGCGAGUGUUUGGGUGGAAAACCCGAGCGCGUAAUGAAAGUGAAAGUUGAGACCUCUGUCGUGGAGGGCAUCGACGCCCGGACCUGACGUUUUCUGAAGGAUCCGCGGUAGAGCAUGUAUGUUGGGACCCGAAAGAUGGUGAACUAUGCCUGAAUAGGGUGAAGCCAGAGG
RNAcentral lists this ribosomal RNA (843 nucleotides) under Trametes conchifer. RNAcentral describes it as "eukaryotic LSU rRNA". It matches the Rfam family "Eukaryotic large subunit ribosomal RNA", at positions 28 to 858 of the family's 3401-position model. The record is from RNAcentral. Lineage: Eukaryota; Fungi; Basidiomycota; Agaricomycetes; Polyporales; Polyporaceae.